CGGGGUGUAGCUCAGAUGGCUAGAGUGCGCGCUUUGGGAGCGCGAGGCCGGCGGUUCAAGUCCGCCCACCCCGAC
This 75-nucleotide transfer RNA is filed under the name Microgenomates bacterium OLB22. Its description in RNAcentral is "tRNA-Pro". It matches the Rfam family "tRNA". Rfam says of the family: Transfer RNA (tRNA) molecules are approximately 80 nucleotides in length. Lineage: Bacteria; Candidatus Microgenomatota. The record is from RNAcentral.